GUGCUGCCUUUGAGCCCCCACGGAACCUGCGCGUGGUGCCCCAGGAGUCAGGCUGCAGCCAGGGCACAUGCUGUCGCAGACCUGGGGCCAAUAGCUCCUGCAGCAAGC
Small nucleolar RNA from Molossus molossus (Pallas's mastiff bat), 108 nucleotides. NCBI's taxonomy places the organism in Eukaryota, Metazoa, Chordata, Mammalia, Chiroptera, Molossidae. The record is from RefSeq and is a predicted model, not a curated record.